Molecule: ribosomal RNA, 492 nt
Filed under: uncultured bacterium
Lineage: Bacteria
Description: partial 16S ribosomal RNA
Rfam family: Bacterial small subunit ribosomal RNA
Source: RNAcentral
AGUGAACGCUGGCGGUAGGCCUAACACAUGCAAGUCGAACGGUAGCACAGUAAGAGCUUGCUCUUACGGGUGGCGAGUGGCGGACGGGUGAGGAAUACAUCGGAAUCUACUUUUUCGUGGGGGAUAACGUAGGGAAACUUACGCUAAUACCGCAUACGACCUACGGGUGAAAGCAGGGGAUCUUCGGACCUUGCGCGAUUGAAUGAGCCGAUGUCGGAUUAGCUAGUUGGCGGGGUAAAGGCCCACCAAGGCGACGAUCCGUAGCUGGUCUGAGAGGAUGAUCAGCCACACUGGAACUGAGACACGAUCCAGACUCCUACGGGAGGCAGCAGUGGGGAAUAUUGGACAAUGGGCGCAAGCCUGAUCCAGCCAUACCGCGUGGGUGAAGAAGGCCUUCGGGUUGUAAAGCCCUUUUGUUGGGAAAGAAAAGCAGCAGGUUAAUACCCCGCUGUUCUGACGGUACCCAAAGAAUAAGCACCGGCUAACUUCGUG